UCUCCAAUUUUUAGAGAGGGUGGAUAGCCUACCCUUAGAGGGCAUAGGGAUACACAGACGGGCUCAAAAGAAAAAUACCUCCAGAGGCCUUAACCUUCUCCUUGAUAAUCCUCCAUAGUCGAUCACCACAUCAAGACACUUCAGUCUUCUUUACCCUCUCAUUAGCAGAUGAGUCAUCUCGGUUAUUAUCAUUUUUCAUAUAUUGUGAACCACUCUCUGUUGGCUGAUAGUCAAAGUAGAGAUUUUCUUUUUCAAUUCAAGCAUUUGUGAUUACUCUAACAAGUUUGGACGUCGAGGCACUGACUUGAAGUUGUCCAGGCGCGCACCUCAAGUCAAAAGGGAGAAGCUCAGGUUUGCGAAUAAGUAAUUUGUCGCGGGUUCAUUCGAUCUCUUUUGUUUAUUGUUAUCUUGAUUAUUGUAUCAUGUAUCUGUUAGUUAAUAUUUUGGGAGCCUCAUUUAUCUGACUUUUAUUGUUUAAGUAAUUGACCUAGUUUUUUGUACACGUUUAUGCAUAAAUCUAUAGUAGCCACAUUGUUUGAUCCAUUGUUAUGAUCUUCUUUGUCUGCGUAAAUCUAAGAUUUUAACCAGUUUGUCAUUUUAUGAUUUAAAGUUGUUUACUUGUUCUUAACCUUAUACAAACAUUUAAGAAGUUGUGCACUUUUCCUUGUAAACCAUUAUAUCAUUCUAAGGCCUAAUGUUAAGACGCAUUUUGUAGUAUAAUGAGGUAAUACGCUUGUUAAAAGGGGCUAUUAUCAAAGAUUUGUCUUCUUCGUAACAAUUAAAGUUUUUGUGGUAGAUCUUCUUCGGGCCCUAGUUCUUAAUAACACGUAGUAUAUACUAAUUAAACUUAGUUAAUGUUUGUCUUAAGAGUUUUUCCUUGUACAAAUGUUACUAUUUUGUUUAUUAUAAAUCCCCUUAUAUGAUGACAUAUACCAUGCUUUUCGCAGCUUGAAACUAUAACUUUUUUUUAAUCACGUUCAAUGGCAAAAUUUGGUUUUUAAUAGUCAAUAUAUUUUUAUAAUCCUUCUUUGGUUCCUUGUAUGUCUGUUUUCAUCCUAAAGUUUUGAGGGAUCUGUGAAGAGAAGCACCACUGCUAAGUCUUUCUCUCGUAUAUGUUUGUCAAGGCUCUUCUCUAAUAUACUUUAGUUUGAAGUUCUAAUUCAUUCCUUAUCCCAUGUAUAUGUACAUCGGUAUUUAACGUGUGUGAGCCCUCCCCAAGUUAAUUAAUAUUUUGAGGGAGGCUAAGGACUUUGUGGUCAAGGCUUAUAAAAUACAAGAGUUUAACUCUAUACCUUUUAAUUGUGACUAAGCCGGUCUUUUUUUUUAAUUUCCUCGCUAUUAAAUUAAGUCUUUGUUCAUUAUGAGAUAUUUUUACAUUAUGUGAACUUCUUAUGAUAUUUGCUAAACGAUGGCAUGCUACUUGAUUAAUUAAGUAUUUUUCUUUAUUGUGUGCUAUCUUAUUUUUGACCGGCAAGUCAACACUACGUGCUUUGCUUGCGUGUGUAUAAAUAUUGACCUCACAUUAAAGUCGCCACAAAGGUUAAUGGCGUGUGAUCAACAAUUAUCACAGUGCCACGCCUCUAUGGUGGCGCACAUUUUUUUACUAACUAUCGUUUUCCCUUGUUUUAGCCGCGAUUGCCGUGAAAAUCCGCCGAAUCAAUUUUGUUACGGAGAAGAAGAAGAUGUUUUCUUCUUUGACGAACUCAAGACCUGCAAAUAUACAAUAGAGCAAAACAUGAGAAGGAGAGCAAAACGUGAGCAAGCUGACUACUAUUUUUGCUUUCUGCCCAUCUUUAAUUUCCUAGACGUCAUGGAGAGUUCCGAGUCGUUUGACACCGAGUUGAUGCUUUAGAGCGAAUUUGACACCGGAAAAAGAGCUUUGAGACAAGGAUCUGAGGCAAGUGCAUCUGGCGAUCUCACCGGCGCGCAUCCCCAUUACCCGGAGGCGUAGUGGUGAGCUGCUUCCUGAGCCG
This is a non-coding RNA of Nicotiana tabacum (common tobacco), 1973 nucleotides long. Lineage: Eukaryota; Viridiplantae; Streptophyta; Magnoliopsida; Solanales; Solanaceae. The record is from RefSeq and is a predicted model, not a curated record.